RNAcentral lists this ribosomal RNA (486 nucleotides) under uncultured Glomeromycotina. RNAcentral describes it as "SSU rRNA". It matches the Rfam family "Eukaryotic small subunit ribosomal RNA", at positions 562 to 1052 of the family's 1831-position model. The record is from RNAcentral. Lineage: Eukaryota; Fungi; Glomeromycota.
UGGUGCCAGCAGCCGCGGUAAUUCCAGCUCCAAUAGCGUAUAUUAAAGUUGUUGCAGUUAAAAAGCUCGUAGUUGAAUUUCGGGGUUAGUAGGUUGGUCAUGCCUCUGGUAUGUACUGGUCUCACUGAUUCCUCCUUCCUUAUGAACCGUAAUGCCAUUAAUUUGGUGUUGCGGGGAAUUUGGACUGUUACUUUGAAAAAAUUAGAGUGUUUAAAGCAAGCUAACGCUUGAAUACAUUAGCAUGGAAUAAUGAAAUAGGACGUUCGAUCUUAUUUUGUUGGUUUCUAGGAUUGACGUAAUGAUUAAUAGGGAUAAUUGGGGGCAUUAGUAUUCAAUUGUCAGAGGUGAAAUUCUUGGAUUUAUUGAAGACUAACUACUGCGAAAGCAUUUGCCAAGGAUGUUUUCAUUAAUCAAGAACGAAAGUUAGGGGAUCGAAGACGAUCAGAUACCGUCGUAGUCUUAACCAUAAACUAUGCCGACUAGGGA